This 288-nucleotide long non-coding RNA is filed under the name Elaeis guineensis (African oil palm). Its description in RNAcentral is "long non-coding RNA (EGUI_LNC072623)". Lineage: Eukaryota; Viridiplantae; Streptophyta; Magnoliopsida; Arecales; Arecaceae. The record is from RNAcentral.
AUUUUUUAUUUUUAAUUUAUUUUUUAAUAUUUUUUUAUUUUUAAUAAUUUUUUUAUGAAUAAAUAUAUAUUAAAAAAUAUAAUUAAUUAAAAUCAAUGAAUGUCAUGCUCUGAAUGUUUCUUCUUACAAAUAUCUGCAAGUAUAACAAAAUACGGUAGUUUAAUAAUUAUUAAAAAAUAUUAUAUAUAAAUUUAAAAAAAUUUCAAUAAUAAUUUUAAAACUUAUAAAUUCAAAAAAAUAUGUUAUAUACUUCAAAUAAUAUUUUUGAAUUAACUAAAAUAUAAUACU